GCCCACAUAGCUCAGUUGGUAGAGCACUUCCAUGGUAAGGAAGAGGCCUGUGGUUCGAACCCACAUGUGGGCA
Molecule: transfer RNA, 73 nt
Filed under: Candidatus Pelagibacteraceae bacterium
Lineage: Bacteria; Pseudomonadati; Pseudomonadota; Alphaproteobacteria; Candidatus Pelagibacterales; Candidatus Pelagibacteraceae
Description: tRNA-Thr
Rfam family: tRNA
About the family: Transfer RNA (tRNA) molecules are approximately 80 nucleotides in length. Their secondary structure includes four short double-helical elements and three loops (D, anti-codon, and T loops).
Source: RNAcentral